This 696-nucleotide long non-coding RNA is filed under the name Homo sapiens (human). RNAcentral's name for it is "non-protein coding lnc-GLYATL2-4:1". Lineage: Eukaryota; Metazoa; Chordata; Mammalia; Primates; Hominidae. The record is from RNAcentral.
AGUGUGGAACUUUACCCUCCUGAUGAAGACGCCAGAGUUGGGUAUCCCCAAAGUGAUGAUCAAAGAAGUGCUUUGCAUGGGGCUUGAGAAAACAUCUUACUGUUUAAGAACAGAACGUCUUACUAUCUAAGAACCUGAAUAGAAGGAGAUGCUUUCAGUAUUGGGUGUUUGAAAAGUUGGUCAAAGAAGGGGAGACGAUGGUUGAUUAAGGGGGGGAUGGUGACAAUUAUUUUGUAACUCAUAGAAGGACAGAUGUUGAUGUAAAAGUUGAUGGUUUUGGUGGAAUAAUCAAGAGCAUGUUUCUGAAAUUAAUGUAAAAUAUAGAGAGACCCCUGAAAUCACUGCUUAAAUUACACGGGUGUUGUGGUGCUUGGAAAGAGAAAACUUUGGAAGUAUAAUUGUAAAAAUAAUAUUAUACAGAAAAACAGAAGAGAAAACUUAAGGACAGCUUUCUCAAAUCGCUGUUAUUCUUGAAUCAUCUGAAAGCAGUAUAAGUGACUGGCACCAAUAUACAUCGGAGAGUAAAUCAUUGCACAAGGAAACUUGAUUUUCUUUUCAUUAUAGAAUCUGGAGAAAAAAAGCUAUGAAGAGCAAGAGGUGGUAGAGAAUGGUGUUGUUGAAAUUGCCUGACAUCACUGGAGAUAAUUUGCCCUGGAAAGAAGCACUCCUUAGGGAGGAGCAUCUGCACAUUCCAUU